AGAGUUUGAUUAUGGCUCAGAACGAACGCUGGCGGCGUGCUUAACACAUGCAAGUCGAACGCGAAAGGGGCUUCGGCCCUGAGUAAAGUGGCGCACGGGUGAGUAACACGUGGAUAAUCUGCCUGAUGAUCUGGGAUAACAUUUCGAAAGGAGUGCUAAUACCGGAUAAGCCCACAGCAACCUCGGUUGCAGCGGGAAAAGGGGGCCUCUUCCUGAAAGCUUCUGUCAUCAGAUGAGUCCGCGGUCCAUUAGCUAGUUGGUAGGGUAACGGCCUACCAAGGCUGUGAUGGUUAGCUGGUCUGAGAGGAUGAUCAGCCACACUGGAACUGAAACACGGUCCAGACUCCUACGGGAGGCAGCAGUGAGGAAUCUUGCGCAAUGGGGGAAACCCUGACGCAGCAACGCCGCGUGAGUGAAGAAGGCCUUCGGGUUGUAAAGCUCUGUCACGUGGGAAGAACGAUCUUUUGUGAAUAGCAGAAGAUCCUGACGGUACCACGGAAGGAAGCACCGGCUAACUCCGUGCCAGCAGCCGCGGUAAUACGGAGGGUGCAAGCGUUGUUCGGAAUUAUUGGGCGUAAAGAGCGCGUAGGCGGUCAAGUAAGUCAGGUGUGAAAGCCCUGGGCUCAACCCAGGAAGUGCGACUGAAACUGCUUGACUUGAGUACGGGAGAGGAGAGUGGAAUUCCUGGUGUAGAGGUGAAAUUCGUAGAUAUCAGGAGGAACACCGGUGGCGAAGGCGACUCUCUGGACCGAUACUGACGCUGAGGCGCGAAAGCGUGGGGAGCAAACAGGAUUAGAUACCCUGGUAGUC
Molecule: ribosomal RNA, 810 nt
Filed under: uncultured Desulfuromonas sp.
Lineage: Bacteria; Pseudomonadati; Thermodesulfobacteriota; Desulfuromonadia; Desulfuromonadales; Desulfuromonadaceae
Description: bacterial SSU rRNA
Rfam family: Bacterial small subunit ribosomal RNA
Source: RNAcentral